RNAcentral lists this long non-coding RNA (4958 nucleotides) under Glycine max (soybean). RNAcentral describes it as "long non-coding RNA (GMAX_LNC000761)". The record is from RNAcentral. Lineage: Eukaryota; Viridiplantae; Streptophyta; Magnoliopsida; Fabales; Fabaceae.
UGUAGCUCAUCCUGCCCAUGUUGAAUAUGCAAAUUUGUUCCUUUCCUGCUUGGAGAAAGUCAUUGUGAUUGACUAUAAGCCUACCGUUGUUAAGCUUUGAUUGGAGAAGUAAAGCCUCGUUCACUGCUAGUGUUCUUAUAAAAAUAAACUUUGUUUUCUGUCUAAGCAAUUUCUGUAUACACUACGAUGCUCCUCCCCCGUCAUAUAUUGAGGGUUAUUCUCUCUUGUCUUGAUUUUGACAAUUCUAAAAACCUUAUUGAUAUAGGACUAUGUACUAUUGAAUCACUCCAAUGUUUAAAAAUCAAGAGUCAGUUACUUAUAGUUUUACCUAAAUAAGUUCAAAACGAUCAAUCUGGAUUGUUGGCUUGCAAUUAGGAAAUUGGGGUACAUCACUGCACGUUUAUAGAUAAUACAGAGGCAUAUAAGGGGGGAUCGGGGUUUAGAGAAGUGAAAUUUGUAUCUAAAGAAUAAAGUAUCCAAUCACAAUCACAAGUUUAUAUACGAUGAAUUUUGUUAACUUUUAUAAUAAUCAUUUUAAAAAAAUGCAAAUCCCCAAUAGGAAACAUGAGUUCUUGUGUAUGCCUAAGAGAGUGAGAAUAGGAGGAAACUAAUUUUGACUGUCAAUCUUAUUUUGAUGAUAGAUAUUAUAUUCCUUCUGUUUUAUUAUAAUUAUCAUGUAAGAGAAUUUUUUUUCUAAAAUAAUUAUCAUUUUAGUUUUUUAAUAUAACAUUAAUUAUUUUUUUACUUAUAUUUUUUAUAACAUUAAUAAUAGAUAAUAAAAUUUACAAAUGAAUUAGUGAUGAUAUAAGAGUUAAUGUUGUAAAAAUUAUCUCUUUCAUUUAAUUAUUUUUUUAAGGGUAAAACGAUUAUUAUCUUGGAAUAGAGGGAAUAUGUGAUAUUUUCUAACCCAAAAAUAAAAAAUAAAUAUUAAAUAAUUUAUAACAACUUAUCCACUUUACGCAACUAAUUGAGCUAAAACCUAUAUUAAUGAAUGUUAUAUUUAGAAUUAGUAUAAAUUUUAAAUGAGUUUUAGAAUACACAAAUUAAGUAAUGUUAUCAUCAAAUUUUAAAUGAGUUUUUUUUGUUAUACUCCAACAUUUUUUAAUUAUAUUUUUUUUGUCAAAUACUCUUUCCAUUUUGAUUAUAAUUUUUUGAAAUCAUUAUUGAUGUAAAAUUUAUGAAUAAAUACAUUAACAAUAUACGAUAAGUGUGUUAACUUUUAUAAAUAAAAAGUAGAUAUAGUAACAAAUGAAAAUAAAAUUGAUCGUAUGGUUUAGUCACAAAAUUUCAUACAUAAUAUUCACUUUUAUAAGAAUUGAGUAGUAUUUUAGUUGUGUAAUAUACAGAAUAAAUGUUUAUUUUAAAUAAUUAACAUUUAUAAAAAAAAUAUUUUUUAAUCUUAUACACUAGUUGUUAACGUGCAAAUAGAAUCUUUCAAUCUUAUAGACUAGUUUUAACGUGUUGGUUUUGGGAGGAUCAUGCAUAUUCAUUUAUAUUAUUCUAGACAUGAAAAUUCCGUGUUAAAUUUUAUAUGUAAGUGCUCGACCGUUCUCUGUUUCUGCUCGAGCUUUGGGUGAUUCUUUCUUUUUAAUUGGCAUCGAUAUUGUUUCUUACUUGGAACUAAUGCAUGACCAUAUUCGUAAAUCAAGAGAUACUAUCUUAUAAUGCCCAUUUGCGAACAUCAGGUACGCACUGUCAUACAUGUUCGUGAAGAAUUAAUUAAACCAUGUCAUGUUCAUAUAUACUCAGAAACUAGAAAAACAUUUGGGUGUUAACUUGCCUUGUGACUGGUGCCGCUAAUGGCGUGAGUCGGAUCUGAAUUUUCUGUUGUUCCUUUUUCAAUUAUUCUUGUGUGGUGUCCUUUAAAAAUCACACAAUUUUAAAAUUGAAUCACAAAAUUAAAUAUUAACAUAAUUACAUAGAUAUGGAUAACUGGUAAAAAGAUAACAGAAAAACUAAUUUCACCAAAUCCAGCCAAAUUUUACUGGUUGAUAAUUUAUUGCAUCAGUUGGAAGUCCAACCAAAUUUAAUGCAUUCAUUGAAAUUUUUUAACCAUUUAUAGUGCGGUCUGGUGUCAAUUUCUUUGAAAAAACAAAUAAGUUAUUGUUACUUGUUUCUUUUAUAAAUAGAAGUUGUGGGAUGGAGAUCGAAGAACAUCGUCAAAAACACAAAUCAAAACAAUUGUUUACUAUGAUGUGGCAUUAAUGUGGAGAUCAAUGAAUUGGAAAUAAAGAAUUUAAAAUAAAUAGCUUAAAUUGUAUCUAUUGAAAAUGCUCUAAGAUACACUUAACUUGCAAAAUUAUACAAGAUUAUAAUAAUUAUUAAAAUUUUGAAUAACUUCACAAUUGAAUAUGAUGUCUGCAAUUAUUCUCAUCUUAACUAAUUUUAAGUUACUUCGUAAGAUAUGAUAACUUCAUUGAGAUUAUCAAAAUUAAUAAAAAUAAAUUAUAAGUUAUUUUAUAUCUUUAAAUAAGUUCUUACACUUUUUUCAUAAUUAUUUAUAAAAAAUAUUAGAUAUGAUGAUAAUAAUGUUAACAGCAUGUGAGAUAUCAUUAGCUUGUCAGAUAUCGUUUGCAUAUGUCCGACGUAAGAACGUAUCAUCAUUAUCUUUAGGAAUUGAAAAAAAAAAUAGAUAAUUUAUAAUAAUCCACUCAUGCUCAAUCAAUCAACCGAUAUAUAACUCAUUGGUUAAUAAAUAGUAUGUUUAGAAUGAGUGUAAAUUUUAAAUGAGUUUUAGAAUGCAUGUUAUCACUAAAUUUUUAAUGAGUUUUUUUUGUUGUUAUACUCCAACAUUUUUUAAUUAAUUUUUUUUACCAAAUACUCUUUCCAAUAUUUAGAUUAUAGUUUUUUGAAAUCAUUAUUGAUGUAAAAUUUAUAAAUAAAUGAUACAUACAUUAACAUAAUUGUGUUAACUUUUAUAAAUAAAAAUAGAUACAUUAACAAUGAAAAUAAAAUUGAUCUCAUUGUUUAAUCACAAAAUUUUAUAUAUACUAUUCACUUUUAUAAGAAUUGGGUAGUAUUUUAGUUGUGUAAUAUACAAAUAAAUGUUUGUUUUAAAUAAUUAACAUUUAUAAUAAAUAUUUUUUUGAAUAUAUAAACUAUCAUAUUAUAUUAAAAUUUAUAAUAAAUAAUUUUAAUAUAUAAAUUAUAUUUUAGAUUUAUGAUAAAAUAUAUUGUGAUAUAAUGUUAUUUUUGGUUAUUGACUUUUUUAAAUAUAGUAGAAAUUAAUAACUAGAAAAAAAGUCUCAUACAAGAUGGGAAUUUAGAUUUAUAAUUUAGAAAUAGAUCACACCAAAAAAGUUUUUUAAAUGGUUUGGUGGAAAAAGCCAAAAAAAACUUUGAUAUUUUGAAUCAAUUUUCUAUUUUUCAUUUUGUUGAGAUGCCUAUAAUACACGGUGAGAAAGGAGAUGAGGUUGUUGUGAAGGAAGAUAUUGAGGAAGCAAAAGGAGUAGUGAAACACGUAGUCCUUGGAAAGUUCAAGGACGACAUUGCCCCUAUGCCAAUCUAGUCAAUCUCAUUCCACCUAUGAGGUCAUUCCAUUGGUACCUUAUUUUAUCUCUUUCUUUUCUUUCUCACACUUGCAAUGCAACUCAACAACCCACUUUGAUCAGGAAAAAGCUAAACCCGUUGACCACAAAAUUGAAUUUUUUAAUAUGUUCAUUGAAAUGGGUUGCCCAGGUUAGCUGAUGAAUAAGUACUAAUUACUGAUGAGCAGUGUGAGUGAAACAUUAAUUGGGUUGGUUUCCAAUUUAUUUAUGUCUACAUUUUGAUCCAAUGGAUAUUGUGUUUGUAGUCUUCAUAAAUGUUACGUAUAGUGGUCCAUUUUUUCUUAGAUUAUCAAGAAAAUCCAUAGCUGAAAUUGCAGGGUUUCAGAACAACCUCCAUUUUUUCUUUGCCUUUUCUGCAUUAUUAAGUUCUUUUGUUAUUUGUUAUUUAUACAAGCGAGUAUGAUAUUAGUGAGACACAAUAUGUGACUAUUUUAUGAGACAAAAUAGCUUAUUUUUGUCAUUUUAAGAGAGUUUUUAAAACAUAAGUGACUAUUUUAUGAUUUUGUGAGGAUGGUAUUAGCUUCCCUAAUCUCGAACCUGGAAAUUAUCCUAUUAAUUGUUGUACAUGGCAACUAGCCUUAGGUUCUGAAAGAUCCCUUAUUUGGAGUCUUAAGUUUCUCAUGGCCAAGACUAAGAGUGUUUGGGAAAUUUACAAUGUUAAUGUCUCAGGUCAGGCCUAACGGAAUAGAGUAUUGGAAACUUAUAUAGGUGAUUGUGAAAUGUCAUUCAACUAUUGCAUAGCAUCUUACUUUCAACACAUUUGCACUUGAACCCAUUCUAGUGGCUACUGGCUUGAUUGAAACAUUUCAAAGCAAUAUAUCUAAUGCCUAUAUAUGAAUUAUAUAUUGUAGGGCAAAGAUGUAAGUGCUGAAAACAUGCAUCAAGGCUUCACUCAUGUGUUUGAACAGUGGCGGAUCCAAGACCCUAAAUCAGUGGGUGCAAAUUAUAAAAAAUAAAAUCAGUGGGUUCAAUUAUAUAAAUAUAAAUAAAAUAAAAUAUAAAAAUAUAAGAUUUUAUUUACAAAUUUAGUGAAUUUUAAAAAAUGAGGGGAUGUAAGUGCACACCCUCAUACCAAUGUGGGUCCGUCACUGUGGUUGAAUCAACAUUUGAGAGUACAGAGGGCCUUGCAGAGUAUGUAGCUCAUCCUGCCCAUGUUGAAUAUGCAAAUUUUCUCCUUCCCUGCAUGGAGAAAAUAGUUGUGAUUGACUACAAGCCUACCAUCGUUAACCUUUGAUUGGAGAAGUAAUGCCUCGUUCACUGCUAGUGCUCUGAUAAAACAUUUUGUUUCCUCUCAAUUUUUGUAUGCACUAUAGUGCUCCCUCUUAUCAUACAUUGUUACCCUGUUAUCUUGAUCUUGACAAUCCUGAAAAACUUGUUGAUAGGACUAUGCACUAUUUAAUCACCAGUUAC